AUGAGUCAUGAGUCAGGGCAUGUCACACAAAAUAGUGGUGUAGUGAACAUUGCAGAAAAUGGUGUUAGAUAUUAUGGCAGAUUAAGUGACAUCUUUGAAAUGUCAUACAAUGAUUACAAAGUGGUGUUCUUUAAUUGUGAUUGGUACGAUGUCUACCACAAAGUUGGCAUUCAAACGGAUGAGUUUGGGUUCACUCUUGUGAACAAGUCUCGGAAAAUACACACAGGAGAUGAGCUAGAGGAUGAUCCUUUUGUAUUUUGCUCCCAAGUGCAGCAGGUUUUCUACGUUCAAGACCCAAAAGCUGAACUAUGGAAUGUAGUAGUGGAAGUCAGGCCUCGUGAUCUUUUUGACAUGGGUGUUGACGAAUCAUCAGAUGAA
RNAcentral lists this ribosomal RNA (378 nucleotides) under Triticum aestivum (bread wheat). RNAcentral's name for it is "partial small subunit ribosomal RNA". Lineage: Eukaryota; Viridiplantae; Streptophyta; Magnoliopsida; Poales; Poaceae. The record is from RNAcentral.